Molecule: long non-coding RNA, 869 nt
Organism: Lactuca sativa (garden lettuce)
Lineage: Eukaryota; Viridiplantae; Streptophyta; Magnoliopsida; Asterales; Asteraceae
Source: RefSeq, a predicted model, not a curated record
ACCCUUACUACGUUUUGGCUUUGAUUUGACCUAAAAAACCGAAGGGAGGGCAUCCAUGUCAGCUCGAAGAGCUACAAUAGGAGGAGACCCGGUGCCAAUUUGAGCUACAAAACCAGUCAUGGAAAUCGGGUAUGUGUAAGAAACGCCAAGUUUAUCGAGCUCAUUGCGAAUAAGGGCGCUGGUGUUGUGUUCUUGGAAAAGGAGUUCAGGGUACUCGUGGAGCUUCCUUCUUAUUGAAAUCAACCAAUCUUUGUCUUCUUUUGCUGCGCUUAAAAGCUGCGUCCCGUAGUCUUCAUUGGCAUCUACUAUUUGAAUCGACGAAGGCAGUAAAACCCAGAGCAGUAGGAGGAUGCCAAAGGAACGAAAAAUCAAAAUUUGAAGCAUCUUCUACAAUUAGGUCUUCUGAUACUGUCUCAAUUGGGGCGUGUAACACUCGACCCAAAAACUAAACCGAUUGACAAAAGGAGAAGAAGGGAGGGGCUAAGUAAAGGGUAUUUUGGUCCUUUUCAAAAUUUAAUCAAAGGAAACGAAACUAGGUCAUUUUCAUGAUUACAUAUGGAGGAAAAUUACCUGCUUUGUUCGAUUAAGUGAAAAUCAAAAUAAAGAAUUCAUGAUGGGUCUCGUGGGAUGCACUGUGGUUAAAAGGAAGAUUAAUCUUGAUGCUUCAACAAUCAACAUGCAGGUUGGGAGACAUUUCUAGAUACUGGUAAUUUGUCUUGGAUACAAGUAAUGCUUUUGCUUUAAAAAUCUUAUCCUCUUACUUUUAUUUAUGUGUUUACUAGUAUGAUGCUUAAUAUUAUCUUUAUGUUUUAUGUUAUAACUAAUGCAUUUUAGCAAUUCAGAAAAAAUAAAAGUUUAAUGUUAUUUCA